RNAcentral lists this ribosomal RNA (425 nucleotides) under uncultured bacterium. Its description in RNAcentral is "bacterial SSU rRNA". It matches the Rfam family "Bacterial small subunit ribosomal RNA", at positions 356 to 773 of the family's 1533-position model. The record is from RNAcentral.
GGGGAAUAUUGCACAAUGGGCGCAAGCCUGAUGCAGCCAUGCCGCGUGUGUGAAGAAGGCCUUCGGGUUGUAAAGCACUUUCAGCGGGGAGGAAGGCGGUGAGGUUAAUAACCUUGUCGAUUGACGUUACCCGCAGAAGAAGCACCGGCUAACUCCGUGCCAGCAGCCGCGGUAAUACGGAGGGGGCAAGCGUUAAUCGGAAUUACUGGGCGUAAAGCGCACGCAGGCGGUCUGUCAAGUCGGAUGUGAAAUCCCCGGGCUCAACCUGGGAACUGCAUUCGAAACUGGCAGGCUAGAGUCUUGUAGAGGGGGGUAGAAUUCCAGGUGUAGCGGUGAAAUGCGUAGAGAUCUGGAGGAAUACCGGUGGCGAAGGCGGCCCCCAGGACAAAGACUGACGCUGAGGUGCGAAAGCGUGGGGAGCAAAC